RNAcentral lists this ribosomal RNA (466 nucleotides) under uncultured bacterium. Its description in RNAcentral is "partial 16S ribosomal RNA". It matches the Rfam family "Bacterial small subunit ribosomal RNA", at positions 28 to 507 of the family's 1533-position model. The record is from RNAcentral.
GAUGAACGCUGGCGGCGUGCUUAACACAUGCAAGUCGAACGGAAAGGCCCAAGCUUGCUUGGGUACUCGAGUGGCGAACGGGUGAGUAACACGUGGGUGAUCUGCCCUGCACUUCGGGAUAAGCCUGGGAAACUGGGUCUAAUACCGGAUAGGACCGCAUUUUGGAUGGUGUGGUGGAAAGUUUUUCGGUGUGGGAUGAGCUCGCGGCCUAUCAGCUUGUUGGUGGGGUAAUGGCCUACCAAGGCGUCGACGGGUAGCCGGCCUGAGAGGGUGUACGGCCACAUUGGGACUGAGAUACGGCCCAGACUCCUACGGGAGGCAGCAGUGGGGAAUAUUGCACAAUGGGCGCAAGCCUGAUGCAGCGACGCCGCGUGGGGGAUGACGGCCUUCGGGUUGUAAACUCCUUUCGCUAGGGACGAAGCGUUAUGUGACGGUACCUGGAGAAGAAGCACCGGCUAACUACGUG